CAGCGGAGCAUGUGGUUUAAUUCGAAGCAACGCGAAGAACCUUACCAGGGCUUGACAUGUCGCUGACCGGUUUAGAGAUAGACCUUUAUCCUUCGGGGUACAGCGGACACAGGUGGUGCAUGGUUGUCGUCAGCUCGUGUCGUGAGAUGUUGGGUUAAGUCCCGCAACGAGCGCAACCCUUGUCUUUAGUUGCCAUCAUUAAGUUGGGCACUCUAAAGAGACUGCCGAUGACAAAUCGGAGGAAGGUGGGGAUGACGUCAAAUCAUCAUGCCCUUUAUGUCCUGGGCUACACACGUGCUACAAUGGUCGGUACAACGAGAAGCAAGUCAGCGAUGGCAAGCAAAUCUCUAAAAGCCGAUCCCAGUUCGGAUUGCAGGCUGCAACUCGCCUGCAUGAAGUCGGAGUUGCUAGUAAUCGCGGAUCAGAAUGCCGCGGUGAAUGCGUUCCCGGGUCUU
RNAcentral lists this ribosomal RNA (455 nucleotides) under uncultured Eubacteriales bacterium. RNAcentral's name for it is "bacterial SSU rRNA". It matches the Rfam family "Bacterial small subunit ribosomal RNA", at positions 930 to 1382 of the family's 1533-position model. The record is from RNAcentral. Lineage: Bacteria; Bacillati; Bacillota; Clostridia; Eubacteriales.